AAUGCAAAAAUCAUGCUCUACUACCUAAAUACGUACAAUAAUUAUCUAAAUUGACUGUUACCGUACAUAACUAUAGAUUCAUUGAGCAUAAAUUUUAUGCGUAAAUGACAAUAGAAAACAAAUUUCGCAGUCCAAAUAAUUGUAUUUACUCGACUAAAUAGUCUUAAUGAAAUAUGCUAAAAGUAAUUAGAGUUAUGUGAUUUUUGGUGGUGGCGUCGGUUAAUAACUGACAAAGCCCUCCUGGCUGCUGACUCCUCAAUGAUAACACAAAGGACAGCAACAUGUAUAGCAAAUACAUAGUUUAAAACCUUAAUAAUCAUAUGAAACAGAGAAACAUGCCGAGUAAAUAUAACCUUUCCUUGAGAAGAAUAAUAAAGAAAAAAUAAAACCUUUAACUUCGGUUACACGAAAGCUAGAAUUCCCUUCUCAAAUAUAAACUAACUGUGCUCGGUAAGCUUGUAUGGCAGCUAUAUGCUAUAGUAUCUUGAUCUGAAUAAUAUCUUCGAAGAUUGCAAAAAACCUUUAAUUAACCGCGAACAUUUUCGAGCGAUUACUUUUUACAACUUUCUAUAUGGAUUAACUAUUAUUAAUUCAAGUUUGACGAUGCCGUUCCAUUAAGGACUAGUAUUUAUCGAUGGUGUGGAGAAUUUAAUCUAGGUCGUAAGUUACUCCAAAACGAACUUCGUGAAGUACGUUCAAAAUCAGUUGUUCCGGAAACUAUUGAUGCUGUGCGCAAACUAAUAAAAGCUAGAUCGUCAAGUGACCUAUCGCGUGAUUGAAACAACUAAGAGCAUUAGUGAGACUAGCAUAUAUUGCAUGAAAAUUUCAGUCACUCAAGAAACGCCUCGUGACAAUUACUCGAAUUAAAUGUUAACAAAUACAAUAGCGGUGCCUCGUAACACGCCAAACUGAAAAAAAACUGAACUGGUCGCAACCCUACCAUUAAAACAACUCAGCGUAGUAAACUUUGAUUAAUACACAACCGGUUUUGUGCCAAUCGUCCUUCAAGAAAUCAGAAAAACUACCCGCGGAAUAAGGAUUACUCUUCAACACAACAAUACAAGCUCUCACACAUUGACUGGAACUCCUGCAUUUUUGAUUUGAUGAGUCAUCCACCGUACAGUCCUGACUUGGUACCGAAAGACUACCGUACGUAAAAAAUAAACUAAAAGAGAAGGGUCUCUCGACACCUGAAGAGGCAGUUGAUGCAAUUUGGUGAAGAUAUCUCGUCAAAUGAAAAAGUUUUCCACUUCAUUCCGAUAGGGUGGAAUAUUUCAGAUCGACAGACGGACAGAGGAAUGCAUUCAGCUCGUCACGCUCUUCAUUUGCAUUUAUACUUUAUAAGGUAUCUGACGUUUCCUUUUGGGUGUUACAAACAUCGUGGCAAACUAGUGGAUUCGAGUAAAUACAAUUAUAUACCCUGUUGAGUAUAUAAGAAGAAUGUACUCUUAUAUCGGCUGUUCCUUAGUUUACUUUGAGAUUUAUUCCCCUUUUUGCGCUGUACCUCACCUUUGGCAGUCAGUGUAUUCCGUUAUAGGUUUCCGAUAAGUACAUAUUAAUGUUUGCCGUUGUCACUGCAGUCGUAAGGGUAGUUAUCAAGGUGUCAGUUUUUGUUGUUGUUGUAGUUGUUUGCAUUCAUAUUUGGUCUACCGAAGUCAUCCCGAAAAAGUUGGGCACUCGUCCGGCAUGUAUAGUAUAGUGAAGUCAUUUGAUACCUCUGACCUCGCCCGGAUAUCGAAGGGAACUGUUCGUGUACAACUACUCAUUUAUCGGGGUUAGUAUUGGUACAGAUAUCCUUACACCAUCAACAAAACGGAGAUAGGCGUAAAACCGAGGACUUCUUCAUCCAUUCCCUUAUUGUUUGAAUUGUGAGAUAUCCCUCUUAGUUAGUAAAAAGAAUGUACAUCCAUUACCAUUACCUAUCUCCCGAUCAACGCUGAAGGAGAGGAAUGAAUUUAUUAAUGUGAACCUUAUUUCAGUGUUGGUGUUCGCCAUCGACCGAAAGGUCGAAAGGUCUGGGCUAAAAGACGGCUUAGGCAAAACUUCCAUGAGUGUAUAAAUGGUUUUUAACCGGUCUUUCAACGUCUUUUCUCCAUAAUAUAAAGCAUCCAUUUUCCAUCACUAGUCACAAUUUGCUGCAAAAACCGACCACUUUUUGUAGCGCUCAAACAGCAUUUCACACUUGCGAAAUCUUCUUUCUCCGUGUUUUGGUUUCAAUUCAUAAGGCACUCAAUUUACUUGCUGUUUAACGUAAUCGACUGCUUUUACGCAUUUUGGCUGCUAGAGUGACUUCCGGGGACUCUGCGAGCGCUCCUCUUUUGUUUAGCAACUUUAUUAAGUAGUGCUCUCAGAUCCUCAUCCUCAAACUUUUUUGGUCGCUCUGGUGCUUCUUCGACUUCCAAGUCAAAAUCAUCAUUUUUAAAAUCAAACCAUUUUUGAAAAAAAAAAAAUAGAAAAUCUUAACCAUAUUCUUUUCCCAGAAUGCAAAGAUUUUUUGCCAAAAUAUAAAAGCAAUGAAGAAUAACUCCCCGUAAAAUGACUUUGCAAGGCACAAUGUGGAAAUAUUUUACAGAAGAAAAAUUAUUCUUGUUGACAUAUACUAAAAAAGAUUUACAGGAGCAGUAACUUUCCAAUCCUGAUUCGGAAUAUUGGAACAAUGACAUAUCAAUCAAAUUACGUCAUCUCUUGGCAAACCGCACAAAUAUAGUUAUGGACCCAAUAUAUGCAUUGACCCAUUAUGUUUGGAAGCUCUGAAUUCGCGCUUAAUUACAAAUUUUGGUUAGCUUAUAAAAUAGUUGCAGCAUAUUACCGCUUCUCUGUUUUUCUUGCCUGUUCCACAUGAUUACACUCUUCCGGCUAAUAACUUACCGUCACUACUUUCAAUUUUAAAUCAAGUCAUUUAUCAUUUUCAGAAAUCUACUCAGCGCAUGCUUCUACAUUUAUGGAGCUAAUCCAAGGUGGCGACAAGCAGUGUGUGCACACAAAUACUGAAUCGUUAGCAUGAAAAACAUAAAAUGUUUUAUAUUGAAGUCGCAUGAAGUCACAAGGUCACGGUAUGCGAGAUCAGGGCCGCUGGAGAGUACGACAAGAUGAGCAAGCAUACCCAAGAGGGUUGUGGAGCGGUCCCACACAGAGUGGCAACAAAAGAAGCUGACUGAGUCAAAUUUUAUUGCUCGUGGCGCCGCAGAAAUAAUAUAUCAAAAUUUGUAACUAGCAUGAAGUAUGAAAAAGUUGGUACAUUACAAAUAUACAAGUACGGUAGUCAAAACCAGCGACGGCGUCAGUUACACUGCACAGAUUUCCAACAAAUGCACCGUUGCCGACUCGGUAUCUGCUGUGCUGGGAACAAUAUUUUUAGAGUGGGCUCUUUUCUUCAAACGCCUUAUCGAAGACAGUUGUACAUGCGAAAUUAGAUGUGAGCAUUAACCGUGUAUAAAUUUUGAACAAAGCAGCAAGGUAAAUCCUUACCUUGGUGGAGCGGGAUUGGACAGAACCACUCUCUUUUACACAGGAAAUUUCGAAUCGCUUGGAAACGGCAUUAAGAGAAAACGAGGUUCUAUAAGAACCUUGAAACAUUCGAAAAAGUAUUGGUUCUUUCGGUCGCGCCAAUACCGACUCAGUGUUCACAGCCAUCCAAUUGAAGGGUAUGCCUAGGUCUUCAGUGCAGGAUGCAAAACUUAUCUUGAAAGCUCUUGUUCUGUGAAAACUCAGAAAUCAAAGCAAUCGGAGUUCAGAUAGAUUAUAAACUGUUCUAUGAAGUCCGCAAAAGCGUUUAGAGCGGCGGUAAUAAAGAACGCCAAAAGAGUUUCAUGAAGAUCCUUCUGUAAAGGCGAAGAAGGGGAUUACGAAUCCUAAAGGUUUAGGCGCAUUCACGUCAAAACGCUAUUUCCGUGGGUUAUCUUUGAAGUGUGGACGGUGACUGGACUUCGAGCAGCAAGGAAGGGGCCCGCGGACUUUAGAACGGCGAUAUAGCUUUCUUGGAUCUUCUAGACGAGCAUGAUCUCACAUGAGCUUUAAAUUCGUUCAAAUCAUUCAAGUACCGGAACCUGAUGACAUCAUACCUGUGCAACUUCAGCGGACGGUAAAGGUGUCAUUCAGCUAUUUGACCCACAUCUACACGAACUGUGUAUGAUUAGAUCACAUUCCCCGGACGUGGAGACAAACGCUGAAGAGGCUUACGCACCUGCACAUCAGAGGCAGGAUAUCGAAAAAUAUAAUAUUGACACUGCCAUAGCUGGAGCGAUCCCUCAUACAUAAGGAAUAUGCGGUGGGAACAUCAUUGAGGGAGUAUUCAACAGAAUGCGACCGGACGCGCUUAUUAGUUCCCCGGAUAGGUUUGAGGUUGAAACGAUGCUAACGAACGAAUCUCAACCAUAAAAAUAAAACUGAACUGGCUUCAUGUACCAGGAGGAUUGUAAUCUCAAAUUCGCCCUUUUCCUUAUUAAGAGGCUCUCUACCUCACUCUCGAAAAUGUGAAGUACUGGGACCGCAUCUUUGAUAUAAUUGCCAUUGGUUUAAUACUAUUGUUGUAGAGAAGCUAUUGGAAAGCGGUGGGAUCUCUCAACAAAAGUAAUGCUUUUGUUUUACGAAACGGCAGUUAAGCCAAUACUAUCCUAUAGUGUAUUUGUCUAGUGGAGGAUACUUGGUAAAGUCACGCUCGCUAAACUGUUCAACGAGCGGCACUAAUUAGCAUCAGUACUACACUACGAACAACGACAAAUUAGCACUUAAUGUCAUUACACCUAUAGCACCCGUGGAACCUUCUCCUAGCAGCAUCUUCUCCGCGCACAUACCGCCAGAGAUAUGUGGGUUGAGCCGGAGUCACUGGAAAAGAGGCGCAGUGGAUUAAUCGAAUCUCGAGUGAAAGGUUUGAGGGGUUACCUUCUGUCGGAAUCUCUCAAUAAACUAUUGUUUCAGACUUCCGAACCACUUUGGUGUCUUUCAAGCAGAAGUCACAGUCAUCAAGUUAGCAGCAGCUGUACUUCCCCGAAAUGCUUGUUUUUAGGGAGGUAUACAUCCACUCCGAUAACACAGUUUCUAUAUAGUCCUUGGAUUCGCUAACAGUGAAAUAAAAGCUAGUCAAGGAGUGCAUAUCCUCACUUGGAGUAGCAUUUAACUGCGUGCUUGGAAUUGUCAGUAAUUUUAAGGGCUAUGAAAGACGCAAGAGAAAGCACUCUUACUCUAAUGCCAUCAAGAAUCUAUGCGCCUCGCCCGAGUUCAGCAAGAGUUCGUUAUCAACCAGCACUUAUACUGUCGCGAAAGUCUUCUGGCUCAGAACGGAACUUCUAAAAAAUCCAUUGAACCGUCAGCUCUUAGUUAAGCUCAGACCUCCGCAAUGAUAGACGUCCUUACUAGACAUGAUUUUUGAUCUAAACCCAAGAGUUCUGGGCAUCACAGCGGUGUAGCGUUUUUAACAGUCCAAGAGGGAUGUUGGUCUAACGAGUAAUCAGUCUAUCCCCUUAAUCAAAUCUAAUCUAAUCUAAUCUAAUCUAAUCUUAUCUAACCUAACCUAACCUAACCUAAUUUAUUAUCCCAAUCUUCAUAUAUCCAUUAUUCUGCAUUGGUUAAAUCCAUAAAAUUAACGCUUCUACAGUCGCUAAUCCAAUGACAAAUAAGGAUAAAAAAUCAUGCGCUCUCGUUGGCCGAAAAGUAAACAAUGAAAUAAAGCGAUGCGAUUGCUGAUGACAAACUCUUCGCUAAAUUGCAAUUUAAGCCGAAGCAGAAAAAGAGAUGAAAUGGAAAAGCAAUGAAAAGCGACCGCCUGAUUGACAAAGCAACAAAAAAGCCAACACAAAACAACCAACGAAAAGAUUGCAGGUUUAUCCAAGCACACUGACAUACGGGAACAAAUGCACACAUCCGAACACGACAGAAAGGCAGACAUGCGAUAAAGUCAAAGCCGGAGUCAUAUCGAAAGCCAUUCGUUGGAGUAUUUGCCACUUUAACGUGCAUUAAAGUUCACAUUAAUGUGAAGCGAUGCUAUUCGAUGGGCGGGGAGGACGAGGCGACGUUUUAAUGUGGUGCACCGCACUCGAGUGUUGCGCAAAUAAAGCGAUUGCACUAAAAAUCGCUGUAGACAAUUGUCGGUGUGCAAGCGAACGCAUGUACAUGUGUGCGUGUGUGCACAAAUAUUUACACAAUUACAUACGAAAGCGCAUGAAUUGAUGUAUGUAUGUGUGUGCUACUCAUCAGUGCAUUACCACGUCGUUUUUCUAAUUUUACAAAUGCAUAUUUACGUAAGUGUGUGUGUGUAUGAAUUCUAUUUGUGUUUGCUUUGAAAGCAUAGUAAUAGCUUGGAAAAACAUUUGCGGUUGUGAAGCGCAGCGAUUUUCGAUGGUCUUUUGAGCACAACUCUUGAUGCUGUUGACCAAGAGCACUCGUUGGUCGAAAGCGUCUACAAAAGUGGUGAAUGAGUGCAAAGCGAUUACAUUUAAAUUGAUUAUUUGAUAUUAUAUUAUUUAUUCUUUUCUGUUAGCAUUUGAAGCAAAAAUUUUCCAGUUACAAAUAAGUGAUAUGUAGUAGUAAUAUAUUAACCAGAAAUAUAUGAAUACAAUAUCUAGGAAGAUGGUUAGGUAAGGUUAGGUAAAAAUGGCUGAUCGAUGAUCGCACGUAGACUAACAAAUUAGUCCUUUGUGAUGCCAUUAAAAGAAAACUCACGUAUUCGGACUUACAGAUUGCCGAAGCGCUUUGUAGCCAAUA
RNAcentral lists this long non-coding RNA (6699 nucleotides) under Bactrocera tryoni. RNAcentral's name for it is "uncharacterized LOC120781202, transcript variant X1". Lineage: Eukaryota; Metazoa; Arthropoda; Insecta; Diptera; Tephritidae. The record is from RNAcentral.